CGGAUGUACCCAAAUGGAUCARGG
RNAcentral lists this transfer RNA (24 nucleotides) under Luffa astorii. RNAcentral describes it as "partial tRNA-His". The record is from RNAcentral. Lineage: Eukaryota; Viridiplantae; Streptophyta; Magnoliopsida; Cucurbitales; Cucurbitaceae.